Molecule: ribosomal RNA, 120 nt
Filed under: uncultured bacterium
Lineage: Bacteria
Description: partial 16S ribosomal RNA
Rfam family: Bacterial small subunit ribosomal RNA
Source: RNAcentral
GACGAACGCUGGCGGCGUGCCUAAUACAUGCAAGUCGAGCGGACCAAUAGAAAAGCUUGCUUUUCUUGAGGUUAGCGGCGGACGGGUGAGUAACACGUGGGCAACCUACCUGUAAGACUG